AAAUAGAUACCCCGGGUAGUCCACGCCGUAAACGAUGAGUGCUAAGUGUUAGAGGGUUUCCGCCCUUUAGUGCUGCAGCUAACGCAUUAAGCACUCCGCCUGGGGAGUACGGCCGCAAGGCUGAAACUCAAAGGAAUUGACGGGGGCCCGCACAAGCGGUGGGGCAUGUGGUUUAAUUCGAAGCAACGCGAAGAACCUUACCAGGUCUUGACAUCCUCUGCCAACCCUAGAGAUAGGGCGUUCCCCUUCGGGGGACAGAGUGACAGGUGGUGCAUGGUUGUCGUCAGCUCGUGUCGUGAGAUGUUGGGUUAAGUCCCGCAACGAGCGCAACCCUUGAUCUUAGUUGCCAGCAUUCAGUUGGGCACUCUAAGGUGACUGCCAGUGACAAACCGGAGGAAGGUGGGGAUGACGUCAAAUCAUCAUGCCCCUUAUGACCUGGGCUACACACGUGCUACAAUGGAUGGUACAAAGAGCUGCGAACCCGCGAGGGUAAGCGAAUCUCAUAAAGCCAUUCUCAGUUCGGA
This 524-nucleotide ribosomal RNA is filed under the name uncultured bacterium. Its description in RNAcentral is "bacterial SSU rRNA". It matches the Rfam family "Bacterial small subunit ribosomal RNA", at positions 776 to 1297 of the family's 1533-position model. The record is from RNAcentral.